ACGCUGGCGGCGUGCCUAAUACAUGCAAGUAGAACGCUGAAGAGAGGAGCUUGCUCUUCUUGAAUGAGUUGCGAACGGGUGAGUAACGCGUAGGUAACCUGCCUUGUAGCGGGGGAUAACUAUUGGAAACGAUAGCUAAUACCGCAUAACAAUGGGUGACACAUGUCAUUUAUUUGAAAGGGGCAAUUGCUCCACUACAAGAUGGACCUGCGUUGUAUUAGCUAGUAGGUGAGGUAACGGCUCACCUAGGCGACGAUACAUAGCCGACCUGAGAGGGUGAUCGGCCACACUGGGACUGAGACACGGCCCAGACUCCUACGGGAGGCAGCAGUAGGGAAUCUUCGGCAAUGGGGGCAACCCUGACCGAGCAACGCCGCGUGAGUGAAGAAGGUUUUCGGAUCGUAAAGCUCUGUUGUAAGUCAAGAACGAGUGUGAGAGUGGAAAGUUCACACUGUGACGGUAGCUUACCAGAAAGGGACGGCUAACUACGUGCCAGCAGCCGCGGUAAUACGUAGGUCCCGAGCGUUGUCCGGAUUUAUUGGGCGUAAAGCGAGCGCAGGCGGUUUGAUAAGUCUGAAGUUAAAGGCUGUGGCUCAACCAUAGUUCGCUUUGGAAACUGUCAAACUUGAGUGCAGAAGGGGAGAGUGGGAUUCCAUGUGUAGCGGUGAAAUGCGUAGAUAUAUGGAGGAACACCGGUGGCGAAAGCGGCUCUCUGGUCUGUAACUGACGCUGAGGCUCGAAAGCGUGGGGAGCGAACAGGAUUAGAUACCCUGGUAGUCCACGCCGUAAACGAUGAGUGCUAGGUGUUGGAUCCUUUCCGGGAUUCAGUGCCGCAGCUAACGCAUUAAGCACUCCGCCUGGGGAGUACGACCGCAAGGUUGAAACUCAAAGGAAUUGACGGGGGCCCGCAC
This 911-nucleotide ribosomal RNA is filed under the name uncultured bacterium. RNAcentral's name for it is "bacterial SSU rRNA". It matches the Rfam family "Bacterial small subunit ribosomal RNA", at positions 33 to 926 of the family's 1533-position model. The record is from RNAcentral.